RNAcentral lists this long non-coding RNA (395 nucleotides) under Medicago truncatula (barrel medic). RNAcentral describes it as "long non-coding RNA (MTRU_LNC002203)". Lineage: Eukaryota; Viridiplantae; Streptophyta; Magnoliopsida; Fabales; Fabaceae. The record is from RNAcentral.
GGGAAUGCAAACAACAUCUCAAAUUAAUUUUCCAAGGGAAAUACAAGUGAAUCGCAACUGUUUGAAGAACAAGAACUAAUUAUUUAUUUAUGCAUCAACAUUUCACAUAUGAUAUGAUAACAACUCACACAUCACACAAGGUAAGCAUUAAAGCCAAACUCUGAGUACACGAAUAUUUAAAGCAACAUAAUGACAGAACUCAUUCUUAGAAAGUUCAACCAGAGAUCUCAAUAGACUUAACAUCAGGUUUCUUAACUUCUUCUUUUGGAACAGUUACAGUGAGAACACCAUUCUCCAUUGCAGCUUUCACCUGAUCCAUCUUGGCAUUUUCGGGCAAUCUGAACCUCCUCAUAAACUUUCCACUGCUACGCUCCACGCGAUGCCAUUGGUUGUUC